Molecule: ribosomal RNA, 436 nt
Filed under: uncultured bacterium
Lineage: Bacteria
Description: partial 16S ribosomal RNA
Rfam family: Bacterial small subunit ribosomal RNA
Source: RNAcentral
AACGAACGCUGGCGGCAUGCCUAACACAUGCAAGUCGAACGAGAUCCUUCGGGGUCUAGUGGCGCACGGGUGCGUAACGCGUGGGAAUCUGCCCUUAGGUUCGGAAUAACAGUUAGAAAUGACUGCUAAUACCGGAUGAUGACGUUAAGUCCAAAGAUUUAUCGCCUGAGGAUGAGCCCGCGUAGGAUUAGCUAGUUGGUGUGGUAAAGGCGCACCAAGGCGACGAUCCUUAGCUGGUCUGAGAGGAUGAUCAGCCACACUGGGACUGAGACACGGCCCAGACUCCUACGGGAGGCAGCAGUGGGGAAUAUUGGACAAUGGGCGCAAGCCUGAUCCAGCAAUGCUGCGUGAGUGAUGAAGGCCUUAGGGUUGUAAAGCUCUUUUACCCGAGAUGAUAAUGACAGUAUCGGGAGAAUAAGCCCCGGCUAACUCCGUG